This 465-nucleotide ribosomal RNA is filed under the name uncultured bacterium. Its description in RNAcentral is "bacterial SSU rRNA". It matches the Rfam family "Bacterial small subunit ribosomal RNA", at positions 29 to 514 of the family's 1533-position model. The record is from RNAcentral.
AUUGAACGCUGGCGGCAUGCCUUACACAUGCAAGUCGAACGGUAACGCGGGGCAACCUGGCGACGAGUGGCGAACGGGUGAGUAAUAUAUCGGAACGUGCCCAGUAGUGGGGAUAGCCCGGCGAAAGACCGGAUUAAUACCGCAUACGACCUGAGGGUGAAAGCGGGGGAGUCGCAAGACCUCGCGCUACUGGAGCGGCCGAUGUCGGAUUAGCUAGUUGGUGAGGUAAAGGCNCACCAAGGCGACGAUCCGUAGCUGGUCUGAGAGGAUGAUCAGCCACACUGGGACUGAGACACGGCCCAGACUCCUACGGGAGGCAGCAGUGGGGAAUUUUGGACAAUGGGGGCAACCCUGAUCCAGCCAUGCCGCGUGAGUGAAGAAGGCCUUAGGGUUNUAAAGCUCUUUUACCCGGGAUGAUAAUGACAGUACCGGGAGAAUAAGCUCCGGCUAACUCCGUGCCAGCAG